CAAAUCUCAGUUCAGAAUUGCAGGCUGCAACUCGCCUGCAUGAAGUCGGAAUUGCUAGUAAUCGUAGGUCAGCAUACUACGGUGAAUACGUUCCCGGGCCUUGUACACACCGCCCGUCAAACCAUGAGAGUUGGCAACACCCGAAGUCGGUAGUCUAACCGCAAGGAGGACGCCGCCAAGGUGGGGUUGAUGAUUAGGGUUAAGUCGUAACAAGGUAGC
This 219-nucleotide ribosomal RNA is filed under the name uncultured bacterium. RNAcentral describes it as "partial 16S ribosomal RNA". It matches the Rfam family "Bacterial small subunit ribosomal RNA", at positions 1282 to 1500 of the family's 1533-position model. The record is from RNAcentral.